AGGUAUCAGAAGUGCGAAUGCUGACAUGAGUAGCGUUAAAGGGGGUGAAAAGCCCCCUCGCCGUAAGCGCAAGGUUUUCUACGCAACGUUCAUCGGCGUAGAGUGAGUCGGCCCCUAAGGCGAGGCAGAGAUGCGUAGCUGAUGGGAAACAGGUCAAUAUUCCUGUACCGAUUACAAGUGCGAUGUGGGGACGGAGAAGGUUAGCUCAGCCAACUGUUGGAUAUGUUGGUUCAAGCCUGUAGUCGUGCCCGGUAGGCAAAUCCGCCGGGCUUAGAUGAGGGGUGAUAAGGAGUCUGCUUGCAGACGAACUGAGUGAUACCCUGCUUCCAGGAAAAGCCACUAAGCUUCAGCUUGUAACGACCGUACCGCAAACCGACACUGGUGCGCGAGAUGAGUAUUCUAAGGCGCUUGAGAGAACUCUGGAGAAGGAACUCGGCAAAUUGAUACCGUAACUUCGGGAGAAGGUAUGCCCCUAGUAGGUGAACUCGAACAGAGGGAGCCCAAUGGGGUUGCAAAAAAUCGGUGGCUGCGACUGUUUAAUAAAAACACAGCACUCUGCAAACACGAAAGUGGACGUAUAGGGUGUGACGCCUGCCCGGUGCUGGAAGAUUAAAUGAUGGGGUGCAAGCUCUUGAUUGAAGUCCCAGUAAACGGCGGCCGUAACUAUAACGGUCCUAAGGUAGCGAAAUUCCUUGUCGGGUAAGUUCCGACCUGCACGAAUGGCGUAACGAUGGCCACACUGUCUCCUCCAGAGACUCAGCGAAGUUGAAAUGUUUGUGAUGAUGCAAUCUCCCCGCGGAAAGACGGAAAGACCCCAUGAACCUUUACUGUAGCUUUGUAUUGGACUUUGAACAGAUCUGUGUAGGAUAGGUGGGAGGCUUUGAAGCCGGGACGCUAGUCUCGGUGGAGCCAACGUUGAAAUACCACCCUGGUGUGUUUGAGGUUCUAACCUAGGUCCAUUAUCUGGAUCGGGGACAGUGCAUGGUAGGCAGUUUGACUGGGGCGGUCUCCUCCCAAAGCGUAACGGAGGAGUUCGAAGGUACGCUAGUUACGGUCGGACAUCGUGACGAUAGUGCAAUGGCAUAAGCGUGCUUAACUGCGAGACUGACAAGUCGAGCAGAUGCGAAAGCAGGACAUAGUGAUCCGGUGGUUCUGUAUGGAAGGGCCAUCGCUCAACGGAUAAAAGGUACUCUGGGGAUAACAGGCUGAUA
RNAcentral lists this ribosomal RNA (1211 nucleotides) under marine metagenome. Its description in RNAcentral is "bacterial LSU rRNA". It matches the Rfam family "Bacterial large subunit ribosomal RNA", at positions 1277 to 2487 of the family's 2925-position model. The record is from RNAcentral.